This 778-nucleotide ribosomal RNA is filed under the name uncultured marine eukaryote. RNAcentral's name for it is "SSU rRNA". It matches the Rfam family "Eukaryotic small subunit ribosomal RNA", at positions 161 to 938 of the family's 1831-position model. The record is from RNAcentral.
GAGCUAAUACAUGCGAACACUCUCGACUCACGAAGAGAUGCUUUUAUUAGAUCAAACCAAACUGCUUCGGCAGUACCCAUUGGUGACUCUGAAUAACUUUCAGCUGAUCGCAUUGCCUUGUGCAGGCGACAUUUCCUAUGAAGGUGUGCCCUAUCAACUGUCGACUGUGAUAUAGACGCUCACAGUGGUUUUGACGGGUAACGAGGAAUCUGGGUUCGAUUUCGGUGAGGGAGCCUUAAAAACGGCUACCACAUCCAAGGAAGGCAGCAGGCACGCAAAUUACCCAAUUAUCGAAGAUAGAGGUAGUGACGAAAAAUAACAAUACAAGACUCUUCCGAGGCCUUGUAAUUGGAAUGAGUACACUUUAAAACCGUUUCACGAGGAUCCAUUGGAGGGCAAGUCUGGUGCCAGCAGCCGCGGUAAUUCCAGCUCCAAUAGUGUAUAUUAAUGUUGUUGUGGUUAAAAAGCUCGUAGUUGGAUUUCGGCGGGUAGUGGCUGGUUCGAAUUGAUUCGACACUGGCUUUUUUACCCGUGUGUUUGGCCACAACCUUGCGGGUGCUCUUAAUCGAGUGUCCGUCGGGGGUGGCAGGUUUACUUUGAAAAAAUUAGAGUGCUCAAAGCAAGCUUGACUGCUUGAAUAUUCGUGCAUGGAAUAAUAGAAUAGGAGGUCGUCUCUAUUUUGUUGGUUUUCGGAAAUCGACUUAAUGAUUAAUAGGGAUAGUCGGGGGCAUUUGUAUUCAAACGACAGAGGUGAAGUUCUUGGACCGUUUGAAGACAA